Molecule: long non-coding RNA, 2277 nt
Filed under: Homo sapiens (human)
Lineage: Eukaryota; Metazoa; Chordata; Mammalia; Primates; Hominidae
Description: HSALNT0407740
Source: RNAcentral
ACAUUGUCUGCUGCAGAAGAGGCACUGGCAUCAGGGAGUUUUGCCCUCUUCCCCCAUCAGCUUUCCUCUGAGGACGAAGACAUACAACAUACAUGCAUGCCUAUUAAGGCUGACUAGGCAUUUAGAACUAUAAAUUUCCAGUCCCAGCUACUCAGGAGACUGAGGCACAAGAAUUGCUUGAACCUGAGAGGUAGAGGUUGCAGUGAGCCAAGAUCGCACCACUGCACUCCAGCCUGGGCGACAGAGGGAGACUCUGUCAAAAAAAAAAAGAAAGAAGAAAGAAAGAAAAGAAAAGAAAGAAGAAAAAAGAAAGAAAGAAAAAGAGAAAGAAAAAAAGAAGGAAGGAAGAAAGGAAGGAAGGAAGGAAGAAAGGAAGGAAGGAAGGAAGCAAGGGACGAACUACAAAUUUCCCUCUAAUCAGUGUCUUCACUUUAUUCCCAAAUUUUUGGUAUGCUGUGUUUUCAUCUUCAUUCAUCUCUAAGUAUACUCUAACCUCCUUUUUAAUUUCUUCUUUGACUCAUUGGUUGCUUAUGUCAUUUAACUUCCACAUAUUUGCAAAAUUUCCAGUUUUCCUUUAGUUAUUGACUUCACUGCAUGUGGUCGAGGAAGAUACUUUGUAUGGUUUCAAUGUUUAAAAAAUUUAUUGGGACUUGUUUUAUGACCUAACAUAUGGUCUAUUCUGGAGAAUGUUUCAUUUGCACUUCAGAAGAAUGUGUGUUUUGAGAAGAAUAUGUAUUCUGCUGUUGUUGAAUGGAGUGUUCUAUAUUUGUUGGUCUAGCUGGUUUAUGGUGCUGUUCAAAUCCUCUACUUUCUUAUUCAUCUUCUGUCUAUCCAUUGUUUAGAAUAGGGUAUUGUGUCUUCCACUGUUAUUUUAGAACAGUGUAUUUCUUCCUUCAUUUCUGUCAGCUUAUUUCAUAUUUUGAGGUUUUAACUGUUUGUUGCACAUAUGUUUAUAAUAAUUAUACAUUAUUAAUGAAUUGACCCUUUUAUCAAUAUAUAAUUUCAUUCUUUGUUUCUUGUAACAGUUUGUUUUGUUUGAUACAUAUAUUGCCACCCAGCUAUCUUUUGGUUACUAUUUGCAUGGAAUGCUUUUUCUCCAUCCUUUUAUGUUCAACCUAUUUGUGUCUUUGAAUAUAAAGUGAGACUGUUGUAGACAGACAACAUAUAGUUGGAUCAUGUUUUCUAACUAUCCUGCCAAUUUCUGCCUUUUGAUUGGAUGAUUUAAUCAAUUUACAUUUAAAGUGAUUACUGAUAUGGAAGAACUUACUUCUACCUUUUUGCUAUUUGAUUUUUGUAUUUCUUUUUCCCUUUUAAAUAAUUUUUAUCUCUUUAUUGAUAUUAAAAAUUUCAAAUAUAUAUCUGUCCUGAUUUUCAUUAGUACCUUGUCCAAGUUUUCCUUUAGCUGUUUGAACAUAUUUAAUACAGCUUUUUUUUUUUUUUUUUUUUUGAGAUUUAGUCUCACUCUGUCGCCCGGGCUGGAGUGCAGUGGUGCAAUCUCAGCUCACUGCAAGCUCUGCCUCCCGGGUUCACACCAUUCUCCUGCCUCAGCCUCCCCAGUAGCUGGGACUACAGGCAUCCACCACCAUGCCCGGCUAAUUUUUUGUAUUUUUAGUAGAGACGGGGUUUCACCAUGUUAGCCAGGAUGGUCUCGAUCUCCUGACAUUGUGAUCCACCCGCCGUGGCCUCCCAAAGUGCUGGGAUUACAGGCGUGAGCCACCGUGCCUGGCCUCUUAAAGUCUUUGUCUCAAGUCCAUUGUCUGGACUUCCUUGAGGAUGGCUUCUAUCCAUUUAUUUUGCUACUUUCCCAUUUUUUUGUAUGCUUUGUGAUUUGUUUUUGUUGAAAACUGUACGUUUGAAUAUUAUAGUGUGGUAACUGUGGAAAUCAGAUUCUCCUCUUUCUUCAGGGUUUGCUGUUUCGUUGAUUGUUGAAGGCUGUUGUAGUCUGUAUGUUUAGUAACUUUUCCAAUCUAUUUUUGCAAAGGUUGUAUCCCUUGUCACGUAUGGUCACUGAAGUUUCUGGGUUUUUUUUUAAAAAGCUUAUGUUCAGCUGGUGUUUUCAUAGAGAUUUCCUUGAAUUCCAGGAGCUGGAAACAAAAACAAACAAUAAACAACAACAACAACAGAAAAGCAAACUCUUCCUCCUGCUGAAAAACCCCCAAAUCAAAACCAAACACCUCUCCCAGUCUUUGCAGAUUGUCUCUGUGCUGAGACAAUCCAACACUUAUCCAGGCUUACACUGAGCCUGAAGUGAAUGCUUAGUAUGGUCUAAGUUCUGAG